RNAcentral lists this ribosomal RNA (489 nucleotides) under uncultured bacterium. RNAcentral's name for it is "partial 16S ribosomal RNA". It matches the Rfam family "Bacterial small subunit ribosomal RNA", at positions 30 to 507 of the family's 1533-position model. The record is from RNAcentral.
UUGAACGCUGGCGGCAGGCCUAACACAUGCAAGUCGCACGGUAACAGGAAGAAGCUUGCUUCUUUGCUGACGAGUGGCGGACGGGUGAGUAAUGUCUGGGAAACUGCCUGAUGGAGGGGGAUAACUACUGGAAACGGUAGCUAAUACCGCAUAACGUCGCAAGACCAAAGAGGGGGACCUUCGGGCCUCUUGCCAUCGGAUGUGCCCAGAUGGGAUUAGCUAGUAGGUGGGGUAACGGCUCACCUAGGCGACGAUCCCUAGCUGGUCUGAGAGGAUGACCAGCCACACUGGAACUGAGACACGGUCCAGACUCCUACGGGAGGCAGCAGUGGGGAAUAUUGCACAAUGGGCGCAAGCCUGAUGCAGCCAUGCCGCGUGUAUGAAGAAGGCCUUCGGGUUGUAAAGUACUUUCAGCGGGGAGGGAGGGAGUAAAGUUAAUACCUUUGCUCAUUGACGUUACCCGCAGAAGAAGCACCGGCUAACUCCGUG